This 26-nucleotide non-coding RNA is filed under the name Homo sapiens (human). The record is from RNAcentral. Lineage: Eukaryota; Metazoa; Chordata; Mammalia; Primates; Hominidae.
UGCAUACAGCAAAGGCCUAUUAUCCA